GAGUUAACAAAUUCCGUUUUUUGUCUAACCUACCCUCCCUGGUCGGGUUAGUUAAUUAUCACUGGUUAGGUUAGGUUAUACGGGUCGGGUGUUUAGAUGGGUUAGGUUAGGUUUUAUAUCCCAUCUCUUCUCCAAAGUCUGUCUUCAAUUUCUGUUUCACCAUCUUCAUCUUCUGCUUCACCUUCUUCAUAUGCAAGUUUGCAGAGUCAGAGACCGAUGGAUAUGAAUUCAUCAAAUCCAGAUGGUAUAGUGUGAAUCCAACUUUACACCGGAUCGUUUUUUGGCCAACGGGACGCAUUUCAGGUGUACAUAGAUGCGUCGAUUUUUUGGAAUAUCGGGUUGCUGAUUAACGUAUGAAGCUCUAUUUUUUGGGAAUACCUAAAUGUUAGCUCAACUGAUGUCAGUCGUAUAUGUACUAAUGCCUACAGAUAUACAGAAAAUGGGGAUUAGAAUACUGGUGUAGGAUGUUAGUCGGCAGUAAAUAUUAGAAAUGUUUUACUUUCGGUAUGGUAAUUGUUAAAUACGCAGUCGCACUUCAUGUAAUCACACUUCAAUACAAUUUCUGCCUGGGUAGAUGAAUGUCUAAAUGCAAAAAGUUUAUCAUUUGUUAAAGAUGUUUAA
Molecule: long non-coding RNA, 621 nt
Organism: Papaver somniferum (opium poppy)
Lineage: Eukaryota; Viridiplantae; Streptophyta; Magnoliopsida; Ranunculales; Papaveraceae
Exons: 2
Source: RefSeq, a predicted model, not a curated record